Molecule: RNA transcript, 616 nt
Organism: Bubalus bubalis (water buffalo)
Lineage: Eukaryota; Metazoa; Chordata; Mammalia; Artiodactyla; Bovidae
Gene: SPA3
Exons: 4
Source: RefSeq, a predicted model, not a curated record
CCCUGCUUUGUUCCUGCUCCUCCUCCGUCCAUCUCCUCUGCUCCUGCUUUUCUUCCAGAUCAGCAGCUGUCUGAGGACUACUUCAUUCUUCCUAAAGAAAUGGAAGACAUUGCUUCUGGUGCAGAAACCAAAGAUAUGAAAUGUGUUUUCCCGUUCACCUAUAAGGGCAUAAAGUUUUUUAGCUGCACAUCCCAUGAUUCCAUAUUCCUUUGGUGUUCUCUCAGUGCAGACUAUACAGGGAGAUGGAAAUACUGUACUAAGACAGACUAUGCUAAAUGUGUCUUUCCCUUUAUCUAUGGAAACAAGUCUUAUCAGGCUUGCAUAAAAACUGGGAGUGUUACUAAAAGGUAUUGGUGCUCACUCUCUCCAAACUUCGAUGAGGAUCGAGCUUGGAAGUAUUGCUAGCAAUAAUAAUAAUAAUAAGGACCAUGCUGUUACUGUCCAGCACAUCCACCCAUGGCCAUGGGUGCAACCCAGACUUUGAAACAUCGGUGAAGAAAAUGAAGAACUCUCAAGCAUGAAGGUGAUGCUCUGAUGACAGAACUGAAAUACAUUCCCUGAAUCGCCACCAUGUUCCCCCUGUGCAUGGUUCCAAUCAAUAAACACUUUCUCUGCA